GACAAUAAUCAUGAUCUGAACGAGUUCGUAGUUCAUGCUGCUGUCAACCUCAUAGAUGAGAACAUGUGGCUGUUGAGCAACAUGUACUUGAAAACUGUGGACAAGAUCAAUGAGGGAUUUGUGUCAGCAUUCAACACUGCAGGACAUAUGAGAUUUAUUAUGCUUCAUGACAUAAGGCAAGAAGAUGAAAUAAAGCACUUCUUUGCUGGUGUUUAUCAUUUACAUAUAAAA
This 231-nucleotide long non-coding RNA is filed under the name Homo sapiens (human). RNAcentral's name for it is "non-protein coding lnc-HSFY2-8:1". The record is from RNAcentral. Lineage: Eukaryota; Metazoa; Chordata; Mammalia; Primates; Hominidae.